Molecule: ribosomal RNA, 479 nt
Filed under: uncultured bacterium
Lineage: Bacteria
Description: bacterial SSU rRNA
Rfam family: Bacterial small subunit ribosomal RNA
Source: RNAcentral
AGAGUUUGAUCCUGGCUCAGAAUGAACGUUGGCGGCGUGGAUUAGGCAUGCAAGUCGCGCGAGAAGUUUCCUUCGGGAGACGGACAGCGGCGGAAGGGAGAGGAAUAAGUAGAAAUCUGCCCUCGGGACGGGGAUAGCGGCGGGAAACUGCCGGUAAUACCCGAUAACAUCUUUGGAUCAAAUGGUGUGAUUCCGCCUGAGGAUGAGUCUACUUCCUAUUAGCUAGUUGGUGUGGUAAUGGCUCACCAAGGCAACGAUGGGUAGCGGGUGUGAGAGCACGAUCCGCCUCACUGGGACUGAGACACUGCCCAGACACCUACGGGUGGCUGCAGUCGAGAAUCUUCGGCAAUGGGGGAAACCCUGACCGAGCGACGCCGCGUGCGGGAUGAAGGCCCUCGGGUUGUAAACCGCUGUCGUAAGGGAACAAAUCUAAGAGGGUACUCCCUUUUAGUUGAGUGACCUUAGGAGGAAGGACGGGC